This 1263-nucleotide ribosomal RNA is filed under the name Triticum aestivum (bread wheat). Its description in RNAcentral is "partial small subunit ribosomal RNA". Lineage: Eukaryota; Viridiplantae; Streptophyta; Magnoliopsida; Poales; Poaceae. The record is from RNAcentral.
AUGAGCACUGUGUCGAUCAGCAAGUCCCCGUCGGUGUUAGUCGCACCAUCGGAGGCGACGGUCAACGGCGGCGACAUCAUUCUCUCGUCUUAUGACAAGAUGUUUGGUGGUAGAUCAGUUACGGUGUUCUUCAUCUUCGAGUAUCCAAUCCAAGAUCCCAUCGAGACGAUCAAAAGGGGAUUGUCCCAAGCACUUGUCCACUACUACCCUAUCGCUGGCCGCCUUGCUGCCGGGGCCGCAGCCGGCGAGUUCGUCAUCAGAUGCACCGGAGAGGGGGUGUCCUUCGUUGCGGCGUCUGCCAACUGCGCCAUCAAGGACGUCCGAGAGUUUUGUGACUCGUCGCUGCAAGAGGAGCUCGCCGUCUUGUACGCGGACGAGGGUUUCAGCUACUCUGAGCCAUUGAUGCUGAUGCAGGUGACCGUCUUCUCUUGCGGCGGGUUCGUCAUUGGGGUGACGUUGAACCAUUCCGUUUGUGAUGGCAUCGGGAUGGCGCAGUUCAUGCAGGCGAUGGGAGAGCUCGCCCGCGGGCUACCGUCGCCGUCCGUCAUCCCGGUGAGGUCCAAGGAUUCGUUCGUGUUGGACCUGCCUCCAUUUUCCACAAACUUUGUUCGCUUUCUGGGCACCCUCCAGCCCUCUCCAAUGGAGUUCCUGGACAUUACUGUGCCAUCAAGCUUAAUCAACCGCAUCAAACGCACGUAUACCAUGAAUUACGGGCAGCCAUGCUCCGUGUUCGAGGCAGUUGCCGCAGUUCUAUGGCGGUGCCGAACCCGUGCAAUCAUGUCCGAUCCGGCGGCCCUCGCCGUGCUUACAUUCCCAGCAAACGCACGAAAGCAUGCGGUUGCCAGGGAGGGCUUCUACGGCAACUGCGUCACCGCACAGCUGGUCAUGGCGACGAGCGGCGCGAUGGCGGACGGCGACAUCAUGGAGCUAGUGAAGAUGAUCCAGCAUGCCAAGGAUCGGGUGCCCGGCCAGACAGAGAUCGACGAGAUGCGGCAGUUGGAUGGGUACAAUCUUUUCCUCAUGUCGUGUUGGCGAAACCUCGGCAUGGAGGAGAUUGACUUAGGCUUUGGACCGCCGGCGAGAUUGAUGGAGUACACGCAGGUAAGGACGAAGCUGCCGAGCUGCGCGACGUGCGUCCCUUGCAAGGACGAGUACAACGUGCAGUCCUUGUGCGUGAAGGAGGAGCACGCCGACGCGUUCCUCCAAGAAUUAGCUAAAAUCGACCUCACUUAUAAUCCGCUUUCCGUUUCAUCCAAGCUUUGA